Molecule: non-coding RNA, 135 nt
Organism: Triticum aestivum (bread wheat)
Lineage: Eukaryota; Viridiplantae; Streptophyta; Magnoliopsida; Poales; Poaceae
Source: Rfam
AUUGUACUUCCUUCGUCCGAAAAUACUUGUCAUCAAAAUGAAUAGAAAGGGAUGUAUUUAAAACCAAAAUACGUCUAGAUACAUCUUCUUUUAUUCAUUUUGAUAAAAAGUAUUUCCGGACGGAGGGAGUAUAAA